AUGGUCACUCGUGCUAAGCGUGGCCUCUUCCAACCCGUCGACCCUCUUAAUCUUUCUGUUACUCACUCCACUCCCUCUCCUAUUCGGAAAACAUACCGGGGUGCACUCCAUGACCCACACUGGCGUCGUGCUAUGACCGAGGAAUUUGAUACUCUUGUCACUAACGGGACGUGGUCUCUUGUCCCACGUCCUCCUCGUGCUCAUGUUGUUUCGGGGAAGUGGAUAUUCAAACACAAGUUCCACUAG
This 246-nucleotide ribosomal RNA is filed under the name Triticum aestivum (bread wheat). RNAcentral describes it as "partial small subunit ribosomal RNA". Lineage: Eukaryota; Viridiplantae; Streptophyta; Magnoliopsida; Poales; Poaceae. The record is from RNAcentral.